GGAAUCUUCGGCAAUGGACGAAAGUCUGACCGAGCAACACCGCGUGAGUGAAGAAGGGUUUCGGCUCGUAAAGCUCUGUUGUUAAAGAAGAACACGUAUGAGAGUAACUGUUCAUACGUUGACGGUAUUUAACCAGAAAGUCACGGCUAACUACGUGCCAG
RNAcentral lists this ribosomal RNA (161 nucleotides) under uncultured bacterium. Its description in RNAcentral is "partial 16S ribosomal RNA". It matches the Rfam family "Bacterial small subunit ribosomal RNA", at positions 358 to 511 of the family's 1533-position model. The record is from RNAcentral.